RNAcentral lists this ribosomal RNA (492 nucleotides) under uncultured bacterium. RNAcentral describes it as "partial 16S ribosomal RNA". It matches the Rfam family "Bacterial small subunit ribosomal RNA", at positions 29 to 507 of the family's 1533-position model. The record is from RNAcentral.
AGUGAACGCUGGCGGUAGGCCUAACACAUGCAAGUCGAACGGCAGCACAGUAAGAGCUUGCUCUUACGGGUGGCGAGUGGCGGACGGGUGAGGAAUACAUCGGAAUCUACUUUUUCGUGGGGGAUAACGUAGGGAAACUUACGCUAAUACCGCAUACGACCUACGGGUGAAAGCAGGGGAUCUUCGGACCUUGCGCGAUUGAAUUAGCCGAUGUCGGAUUAGCUAGUUGGCGGGGUAAAGGCCCACCAAGGCGACGAUCCGUAGCUGGUCUGAGAGGAUGAUCAGCCACACUGGAACUGAGACACGGUCCAGACUCCUACGGGAGGCAGCAGUGGGGAAUAUUGGACAAUGGGCGCAAGCCUGAUCCAGCCAUACCGCGUGGGUGAAGAAGGCCUUCGGGUUGUAAAGCCCUUUUGUUGGGAAAGAAAGGCAGCAGGUUAAUACCCCGCUGUUCUGACGGUACCCAAAGAAUAAGCACCGGCUAACUUCGUG